This 77-nucleotide transfer RNA is filed under the name Propionibacteriaceae bacterium. RNAcentral describes it as "tRNA-Phe". It matches the Rfam family "tRNA". Rfam says of the family: Transfer RNA (tRNA) molecules are approximately 80 nucleotides in length. The record is from RNAcentral. Lineage: Bacteria; Bacillati; Actinomycetota; Actinomycetes; Propionibacteriales; Propionibacteriaceae.
GGUCAGGUAGCUCAGAUGGUAGUAGCGCCGCCCUGAAAAGGCGGAGGUCACCGGUUCGACCCCGGUCCUGACCACCA